UUAAAUGAAUGAACCUAGAAU
Molecule: microRNA, 21 nt
Filed under: Medicago truncatula (barrel medic)
Lineage: Eukaryota; Viridiplantae; Streptophyta; Magnoliopsida; Fabales; Fabaceae
Description: mtr-miR2593b
Source: miRBase by way of RNAcentral